UGGAGCAUGGGGUUUAAUUCGAUGAUAAGCGGAGCACCUCACCCAGGUUUGACAUCCCGAGGAUCUCGCAGAAAUGCGGGAGUGCCGUAAGGAACUCGGUGACAGGUGAUGCACGGUCGUCGUCAGCUCGUGCCUUGAGGUGUACUGUUAAGUCAGCUAACGAGCGCAACCCUCAUCCUAUGUUGUUUUUUCAUAGGAGACUGCCGCCUCCAAGGCGGAGGAAGGCGAGGAUGACGUCAGAUCUGCGUGUCCUUUAUGCCUGGGGCAACACCCGUGCUACAAUGGCCAGAACAAAGGGCAGCGAACCCGCGAGGGAGAGCCAAUCCCACCAAAUCUGGUCUCAGUUCGGAUUGAAGUCUGCAACUCGACUUCAUGAAGUUGGAAUCGCUAGUAACCGUGAAUCAGCUACGUCACGGUGAAUACGUUCCUGGGUCUUGUACUCACCGCCCGUCAAGUCAUGAAAGGCAGGGGCACCCGAAGCACCCUUAUCCUUCGGGAGGGGUACCACGGUGAAACUGCUGAUUGGGACUAAGUCGUAACAAGGUAUCCGUAGGAGAACCUGCGGAUGGAACACUUCCUUAC
Molecule: ribosomal RNA, 582 nt
Filed under: Candidatus Peregrinibacteria bacterium CG10_big_fil_rev_8_21_14_0_10_54_7
Lineage: Bacteria; Candidatus Peregrinibacteriota
Description: bacterial SSU rRNA
Rfam family: Bacterial small subunit ribosomal RNA
Source: RNAcentral